Molecule: ribosomal RNA, 502 nt
Filed under: uncultured bacterium
Lineage: Bacteria
Description: partial 16S ribosomal RNA
Source: RNAcentral
GUAGUUAGCCGGGGCUUCCUCCUCAGGUACCGUCAUUUGUUUCGUCCCUGAGGACAGAAGUUUACAAUCCGAAAACCUUCUUCCUUCACGCGGCGUUGCUGGGUCAGGGUUUCCCCCAUUGCCCAAUAUUCCCCACUGCUGCCUCCCGUAGGAGUCUGGGCCGUGUCUCAGUCCCAGUGUGGCCGUUCAGCCUCUCAGCUCGGCUACCCAUCGUCGGCUUGGUGCGCCGUUACCGCACCAACUACCUAAUGGGACGCGAGUCCAUCUCAAAGCGCCUUAGCUUUGACCCCUUUGCCAUGCGGCAUUGUGGUCUUAUGCGGUAUUAGCAACGAUUUCUCGUUGUUAUCCCCCUCUUCAAGGCAGGUUACUCACGCGUUACUCACCCGUCCGCCACUAAAUCAACCGAAUUCCAUCCGAAAACUUCCUUCUAUUGACUCCGUUCGACUUGCAUGUGUUAGGCACGCCGCCAGCGUUCGUCCUCGAGCCAGGAUCAAACUACUGA